UACGUAGGGUGCAAGCGUUGUCCGGAAUUAUUGGGCGUAAAGAGCUCGUAGGCGGUUUGUCGCGUCUGCUGUGAAAACGCGAGGCUCAACCUCGCGCCUGCAGUGGGUACGGGCAGACUAGAGUGCGGUAGGGGAGAUUGGAAUUCCUGGUGUAGCGGUGGAAUGCGCAGAUAUCAGGAGGAACACCGAUGGCGAAGGCAGAUCUCUGGGCCACUACUGACGCUGAGAAGCGAAAGCAUGGGGAGCGAACAGG
This 253-nucleotide ribosomal RNA is filed under the name uncultured bacterium. Its description in RNAcentral is "partial 16S ribosomal RNA". It matches the Rfam family "Bacterial small subunit ribosomal RNA", at positions 524 to 776 of the family's 1533-position model. The record is from RNAcentral.